CCUACGGGUGGCAGCAGUGAGGGAUAUUGGUCAAUGGGGGAAACCCUGAACCAGCAACGCCGCGUGAGGGAAGACGGAUUUCGGAUUGUAAACCUCUGUCCUCUGUGAAGAUAAAGAUGGCAGUAGCGGAGGAAGCAGCGGCUAAUUACGAGCCACCAGCCGCGGUAAUACGUAGGGGGCAAGAGUCGUCCGGAGUUACUGGGUGUAAAGGGUGCGUAGGCGGCGGUGCAAGAAAGAAGUGAAAUGCAUGGGCUUAACCCGUGAACUGCUUUUGAAACUGUUGGGCUUGAGUGAAGUAGAGGCAAGCGGAAGUCCUGGUGUAGCGGUGAAAUGCGUAGAGAUCGGGAGGAACACCAGUGGCGAAGGCGGCCUGCUGGACUUUAACUGACGCUGAGGCACGAAAGCGUGGGUAGCAAACAGGAUUAGAUACCCUUGUAGUC
Molecule: ribosomal RNA, 440 nt
Filed under: uncultured bacterium
Lineage: Bacteria
Description: partial 16S ribosomal RNA
Rfam family: Bacterial small subunit ribosomal RNA
Source: RNAcentral